Molecule: ribosomal RNA, 1669 nt
Filed under: Eirmotus octozona
Lineage: Eukaryota; Metazoa; Chordata; Actinopteri; Cypriniformes; Cyprinidae
Description: 16S rRNA
Rfam family: Bacterial large subunit ribosomal RNA
Source: RNAcentral
GCCAAACAGCUAGCCUAACUACUAAAUAACCUUAAUAUAAACAUAAUAAAUUAAAAAACAAAACUUAAAACAUUCUUUUACCUUAGUAUGGGAGACAGAAAAGGUACUAUAAAGCAAUAGAAAUAAUACCGCAAGGGAACGCUGAAAAAGAAAUGAAAUAAUAUAUAUAAGCACAGAAAAGCAAAGACUAAAACUUGUACCUUUUGCAUCAUGAUUUAGCAAGCAAAAUCAAGCAAAGAGACCUUUAGUUUGAAACCCCGAAACCAAGUGAGCUACCCCGAGACAGCCUAUUAAGGGCCAACCCGUCUCUGUGUCAAAAGAGUGGGAAGAACUCCGGGUAGAGGUGACAGACCUACCGAACCUGGUGAUAGCUGGUUGCCUAAAAAAUGGAUAUAAGUUCAGCCUCAUUUACCCCAAAUUAAAAUAUAUAUAAAAUACCGGGCAAUCUAUGAGAGUUAAUUAAAGGGGGUACAGCCCCUUUAAUAAAGGACACAACCUUCUCAGGAGGAUAAAGAUUAUAUUAAAUAAAUAUAAAGUUCUAGUGGGCCUAAAAGCAGCCAUCUAUUUAGAAAGCGUUAAAGCUCAAAUAAAUAUAAAAAUUAUUAUUCCAAUAAAAAAUCUUAUUCCCCUAUAUAUUAUUAGGCUAAUCCAUGCUUACAUGGAAGAAAUUAUGCUAAAAUGAGUAAUAAGAAGGCCAGCCCUUCUCCAAGCACAAGUGUAAGCCAAACCGGACUAACCAUUGGCAAUUAACGAGCUCAGUAAAGAGAGUAAUGUGAAUUAUAAAAAUCAAGAAAAACCCACAACAAUUAGUCGUUAACCCCACACUGGAGUGCAUUAAAGGAAAGACUAAAAGAAAAAAAAGGAACUCGGCAAACACUAAGCCUCGCCUGUUUACCAAAAACAUCGCCUCCUGCAACUCAACCAAGUAUAAGAGGUCCAGCCUGCCCAGUGACUACAAGUUUAACGGCCGCGGUAUUAUGACCGUGCAAAGGUAGCGCAAUCAUUUGUCUUUUAAAUGAAGACCUGUAUGAAUGGCCAAACGAGGGCUUAACUGUCUCUUUUUUCUAGUCAAUGAAAUUGAUCUGCCCGUGCAGAAGCGGACAUAAUAAUACAAGACGAGAAGACCCUUUGGAGCUUAAGGUACAAAACUUUAUUCACGUAAAGCAACUCCUUAAAAAGCAAAAACCUUGUGAAACAUAAAAUUUUACCUUCAGUUGGGGCGACUGCGGAGAAGAAAGAAACCUCCAAGUGGAUUGGAAAUAAACCCUAAAAUUAAGAAAAACACUUCUAAAUCACAGAAUAUCUGACCAAUAAUGACCCGGCCAACUAGCCGAUCAACGAACCAAGUUACCCUAGGGAUAACAGCGCAAUCCUCUCUAAGAGUCCAUAUCGACGAGAGGGUUUACGACCUCGAUGUUGGAUCAGGACAUCCUAAUGGUGCAGCCGCUAUUAAGGGUUCGUUUGUUCAACGAUUAAAGUCCUACGUGAUCUGAGUUCAGACCGGAGCAAUCCAGGUCAGUUUCUAUCUGUAAAGCUACUUUUUUUAGUACGAAAGGACCAAAAAAGAGGGGCCAAUACCUAAAGCACGCCCCACCCUAAAUUUAUGAAAGCAAAUAAAUAAAAUAAGGGAGAGCAAUUUAAGAUCUUAAACUUAACCAAAACAAGGAUA